Long non-coding RNA from Cavia porcellus (domestic guinea pig), 2590 nucleotides. RefSeq lists it as uncharacterized. The record is from RefSeq and is a predicted model, not a curated record. Lineage: Eukaryota; Metazoa; Chordata; Mammalia; Rodentia; Caviidae. The transcript has 3 exons.
CGUAGGUUCAGGCUCCGGUCUGCGUCUCUGCGUGCGCACGUAGCUGCGGGUGCGUGGGAAGCACAGAGUGACUGGUGGUGAUGUAAUGCAGUAGGUAAGACGGAGAGCCCCAGAGUCAGCUGUCCUUGGGGUUUAAAUUUUGGCUUCACAUUCUCAGCUGUGUGAUUUUGACCUUGUCAACUGAUGUCACCGAGCUUCAGAUUCCUCACCUGAAAAAUGAGACAGUAGCAAUCGUUGCCUCUCUGGAUGAUGGUCCUCUGCAUGUGACUUGAGUCUUCCUCAGCACAGUGGCCUCAGAGUGGUGGCAUUUUUUACAUGGCAGGUCUCUCCUAGGAUACAGGAAGUGCUAUAGGACGUGUCCUCCUAGACCCAGGAGAAGGCUAGAGCAGCCGGGAGGAAGAGACGGUGUGAGAGGAGUGGCAGUCCUGUCCCAAGUUCCAGGUGCCCCCUCGCCUGGCUUCUCCUGGGUUCUUCUGUCCUAAUUUGGCCCCUCCAGCUCCAGCUCCUGCUCCUGCCCUGAGGGUGGAGGUGGAAGUGCUCUGGCCUCUUCCAGAUUCCCAGACGCAUUGGUGCUCCAGCUGCCCCAUGAGGAGCUGCACCCCUCCUGAAGAGGUAGAGGGAAACUGAGGCUUAGAGGGGACGUGUGGUCCUCAAGGCUGUACUUUGACUUUUCCAGCUCUCCCAGGGCCCACGUGCACUGCACCUGCAUGUGUCCCAGCCCUGACACUGCCGCAUCUCUGGGGCUGCCUGCUUCAUUGGGUUCACCCCUUAUCACCUCACUGCCACUAUGUCCUCCAGCUAGCACCCUCCCCACAGCAGCACCAGCUUCCAUCCCAGAACUCUGGUCCCACUGUGUCUGGCUCUCAUCAGGCCUUUCCACAAGCCCAGGAUCCCAGUACUACUGGAGGUGCCCAUGGGGCCUUAGCUUUCUUUAUUCCAUCAUAUUUAUUGUGUCCCUUCACUCUCACAAAAUCACCUUUUUUUUUAUCAGUACUGGGGACUGAACUCACGACCGCCUGCUUGCAAGGCAGGUGCUUAUGCCACUGAGCUAAAUCCCCAGCCCCCACAAAAUCAUUUUUAAGCAUUUCCCUUUGUUAGAAUUCAACGUGGCCUGAGUUCAAAUCAAUCCACUCAGUGGCUCUCAACCUUGUCCACUUAACCUCAGUUGACCCCCAAAAGUCCUUGUCCCUAGCAUUCCCUGCUGCCUCAGGCCGCCCUGCUGUGUCCAGACACUCCAUCUCUUCCAUGUGGUUCAGGCAACAGCUGCUUCAGGGCCCCCAAGCCAGGUGCCCUGGGCUGCGCUCUGACCCUGAUCUCUGUACAGUAGGUUGAUGGGGUGAGUUUCCGUCCACACUCGACUCCAUAGGAACCUAGGCUCAACCAUAAGCCAGUGGAGGGUCAGGUGACACAUUGGCUAUAGGGUCUCCUGUGGCCUUUCCCUGGCCUGGGACAUGCAUGUCCUUAUGGCUGAUCAGCAGGCAGUGCAUGCAGGAACAUUGAGAGGAAAAGGCAUUUUGACCCUAGGCCAAGCAAGCCUGCUUACUUGAGUUUUAUCUGGAGGUGGGAAGGGCACCUUCCUCCUUUUUGCUUGGGUGUGGGCAUCCCUGGCUCUCAGGACAGGUGAUACCACUGGUGCGCACAUCUGCCCCGCAUUCAGUGGAUGUGAACUUGGAUCACUCAUUUUCUUUCUUUUUUCUAGGGGGAAGAGCAUAGGAACCAUACUUUGGCUACAGGAGGCUAGAUGCAAGGAAUGACUUUCCUAGUAGUGAGAACUGUGGGCCAUUUGACUAGAUUCCAGGACAGGUUCUAGACCCAGGGGACUUUCUUUGUUGUCCUGAGGGACUUAGGGGUGACGGCAUCUCCCAGGGGUGGAUGAGAUGAACCCUUUGUCUUUUGUGUCCUUGAGAUUUCCAGAGCUUCCAGGGUCCCUGGGGCUUCUGGGGGAGGAAGACCUUGCACACCCAGGGCAGGAGGGCGGAAGAGUCCCACUGGAGAGGUCCAUGUGGCAAGAACUGACCCCUAAUCUCUUUGGCUGGGUCUGUGCUGCCCAGAUGAAGGGAGGCUGUCAUGCCCAGCUGGCUCCUCCGGCUCUAGGAGUCACUUGGGGGCCACUCCCCCCGUCACUCGAAUGCUGCGGUUAUUUUUAGCACUGGGAUGUGCAGAACAUGCUCAGAGAAACAGAGUGGAAAAUCUGACACUCAGACUCACUGGGAGGAGACCCAGCUCCUCUACCCGGGCACCGCUCACGUGUUUGAUUUGCAUCUCUCACGUUUCUUGGAACAGCCAGACUUUGGAUUCCAGCAGGCUCCCUGGGAAGACGUGCAGCCUCAGGUCCACGAGUGGCCCUUGGACUUGGCCACCAGCCAUGGCUCCUGAUCAGACCUGUCAUGUUUCCACUGACCCUCAGAAAGAGACAGUGCAGGUCUUAGGCCUGCCGUUGGGUGGGGGAACACACACAGGCCCAAGGAGGGUGUCCAGGGGCCUGCUUGGGAGGGGUACUGGGCAGAGGGGACAGCUCCCUGCCUGGGCGGCGGCAGAGGUUGUGGUGGCGGCGGUGUAGUGGAUAUUUAAUUAAAAAUUACUUCAUGUU